AUAUAAUGUAUAUAGUGACUUUUAAUCAAUUGGUCGCAGGUUCGAGCCGAGCGAAGCGAGACAACAACGCGACUGCGUUGACCCCAAAGGGGCGAGGCCAAAGGCCGAGUCAUCCUGCACGACCCACCA
Molecule: small RNA, 129 nt
Filed under: Pectobacterium sp. CFBP8739
Lineage: Bacteria; Pseudomonadati; Pseudomonadota; Gammaproteobacteria; Enterobacterales; Pectobacteriaceae
Description: RtT sRNA
Rfam family: RtT RNA
About the family: This family represents a bacterial cis-regulatory element known as RtT RNA. The exact function of RtT is unknown although it is thought that it may be involved in changing the cellular response in relation to amino acid starvation.
Source: RNAcentral